This 1870-nucleotide long non-coding RNA is filed under the name Mus musculus (house mouse). Its description in RNAcentral is "predicted gene, 39090". The record is from RNAcentral. Lineage: Eukaryota; Metazoa; Chordata; Mammalia; Rodentia; Muridae.
AGGGCAGGGGCUGGGCUAGUCACCGCAUGGGAAGCAGAAACCAGACACAGACAGAGAGAGCACCCAGAAGAAAUCAGAGCACAGCCAAACUUCUAAUCAGGAGAAGAAAAGCUAUGGAUUCCUUCAAAAUGAAUGAAAAUCAGAUUUGAUCAGGGGAGACCCCCUGAAGAUCCUGACUGCAGACAUGAAAGAAAUCAAGAAUACCAACAAAACAGACAGGUCAGCUCCAGGCAGCACCCCCAUUCUACUUCAUAGAAGAUGAUGAGCAUCGAGAACCUCUGUACGGAGUUUGCUUCAAAUGUGGCAAACAAGCCACUGGGCAAGAAACUGCCCUUGCUUCAGCCGCUGACAGUAUGCUGUCCAAACUGGACCAACAGGAUGCAGGAGUUGCCCUGGUCCCAGUGUCUCUUCACAACAGUGAACAGUGUCUAAACAGGUUUCAAAUUUUGAUUGGUUGGAUGAAGCAUCUAUCAAAAGAUGGCUUAUUGAAAGAGUUGGAGAUGCCUGAUACCCCUUGGCUUAGUGCUGCUGAAGGGAUUUUAAGGCUCAGGGAAUUGCAGUGCUCGAGUGGGUACGCUGUGUAAAACCUCCACAACGUGAAGGCCCAGAAGACACGCCCUUCACAAAUCCUGUAAGACACAAAAUGGUGCACCAGCACAUUUGAAGAGUUUUGCCCUUUUCCUUGUGCCAGACCUAAGGGCUGGAGAUGCUGCUGCUCAGUGGAUGAAUUAAAUGCAAUGGGUUUAACUGGGGCACAGAGUAGCAGGGCCAGGUGGCAGCACUGAAUUAACUAAGGCAAGGUGAUCAUAGUUAUUCCAAUGAGCAGCACAACAACAAAGCAAUGAUCGUAAUAGCCUGCCAUGAUGGUCAGCACAGGCAAAGUGAAUUUUAGGGUGGCAUGACUGGUAUGGACUUAGGUACUGGGUAACCAACCAUGGUGUUUCCAGGCAUGAAACAGGAAGCCUACUAUGUAAGAGGAAAAUUUCUCAAACAAAUAAAAGGCUUACAUUAAGUCAUGAUCAAGAGAGAAUCUCAACCUGUGAACCAAUUUCUAGAGUUGAGCCAGUUUGCAGACCCAGAUCUCCUUGAAUGAGGGAGUGGCCAAGUUCCACUGAUUAAGGACCUUGAUAAGACACCUAAAAGUUUUACUGUUAGUCUUUCUCCUGUCCUUCCCCAGAGGGACCUACGGGCUUUUAGAAGGGAAAUUGUACACGAGGGGAAGGAAACUAUCAGACUUCCUGAGGUCUACUGAAUGCUGUUCUGAACUGACCCUGGUUCUGGGAAACCCCUAGAGACAUGGUGGCCCAUCAGUUAAAGUCAGAGCUUAUGAUAGGAGCCAGGUGAUUAAUGGAGUUUAGGCUAAAGUCUGACUCAUAGUAGGCUCAGGGAGAGCCUGAAUUUCUCCUGUGGUUAUUUCCCAAGUCCCAGAAUGUAUAAUCGGGAUAGAUAUACUUAGAAGUUGGCAGAGUUCUCACACUGGUUCCCUGGUCUGUGGUGUGAGGGCUAUUAUGGCUGGAAAGGCUAAAUGGAAGUCUUUAGAGUUGCCUCUCUACCAUGGAAAAUAGUGAAUCCAGGAACAAGUGUCACCGUCAAGGACUUGGGAGACAAAGCGGGGAGAGGGGCUCCCAGGUCUCCCUUUAGCCCUCCUACCUGGCCUGUACAGAAUAUUUUGGUAAGAACCUGUUUGCACAGAUAUUUGUGUUUUCUUCACUAAGUUUCUUUAUCAUACAGUGUAUCAUCAAUUGAGAUAAUAUCAAUGGUUCUCACAUUUAAGUUAUGAGGUAUUAAAGUAACUUUCCUCAAAGGACAUUGCCACCUAUUCUAAAAUGUAUAAUGAAUUUGUGGUUGUACAUGUUCAAGUUAUAAAUUA